CAAUAGCGUAUAUUAAAGUUGUUGCAGUUAAAAAGCUCGUAGUUGGAUUUCUGGUGGGAGCGAUCGGUCUGGCGCUUAGCGCGAGUACUUGCAUCGUCUCCGGCCAUCCUUGGGGAGAGUCUGUCUGGCAUUAGGUUGUCGGGCAGAGGAUCCUCAUCGUUUACUGUGAAAAAAUUAGAGUGUUCAAAGCAGGCUUAUGCCGUUGAAUAUAUUAGCAUGGAAUAAUAAGAUAGGACUUUGGUACUAUUUUGUUGGUUUGCGCACCAAAGUAAUGAUUAAUAGGGACAGUUGGGGGUAGUCGUAUUCCGUUGUCAGAGGUGAAAUUCUUGGAUUUACGGGAGACGAACUACUGCGAAAGCAUUUACCAAGGAUGUUUUCAUUAA
This 383-nucleotide ribosomal RNA is filed under the name uncultured eukaryote. Its description in RNAcentral is "partial 18S ribosomal RNA". It matches the Rfam family "Eukaryotic small subunit ribosomal RNA", at positions 592 to 976 of the family's 1831-position model. The record is from RNAcentral.